AGAGUUUGAUCCUGGCUCAGGAUGAACGCUAGCGGCAGGCUUAACACAUGCAAGUCGAGGGGCAGCACGGGUAGCAAUACCUGGUGGCGACCGGCGGAAGGGUGCGUAACGCGUGAGCAACAUGCCCUAUACAGGGGAAUAAACCAGGGAAACUUGGUCUAAUGCCCCAUAGCAAUAAGAUAAGGCAUCUUAUUUUAUUUAAAGCUUCGGUGGUAUAGGAUUGGCUCGUGUGACAUUAGCUGGAUGGUGGGGUAACGGCCCACCAUGGCGAUGAUGUCUAGGGGUUCUGAGAGGAAGACCCCCCACACUGGGACUGAGACACGGCCCAGACUCCUACGGGAGGCAGCAGUGAGGAAUAUUGGACAAUGGAUGGAAAUCUGAUCCAGCCAUGCCGCGUGCAGGAAGACGGCCCUAUGGGUUGUAAACUGCUUUUCUACGGGAGCAAUAAGGUCUACGCGUAGACUGAUGAGAGUACCGUAGGAAUAAGCAUCGGGCUAACUCCGUGCCAGCAGCCGCGGUAAUACGGAGGAUGCGAGCGUUAUCCGGAUUUAUUGGGUUUAAAGGGUGCGUAGGCGGCUUUUUAAGUCAGCGGUGAAAUUUUGCAGCUUAACUGUAACAGUGCCGCUGAUACUGGGGAGGCUUAAGGAUUUUGGUUUGCUGUGGGUGGAAAUGUGUGGGGUAGCCGGUGAAAGCUUAGGAUCACCACAGAUAUCGAUUUGCGAAGGUAUCACAAAGCCAAGAUUGAGCUGAGGCACGAAAAGGUGGGUCAAACAGGAUUAGAUACCCUGGUAGUCCCACACUGUAAACGAUGAUAACUCGCUGUCGGGCGAUACACAGUCGGUGGCCAAGCGAAAGCGAUAAGUUAUCCACCUGGGGAGUACGACCGCAAGGUUGAAAACUCAAAGGAAUUGACGGGGGCCCGCACAAGCGGAGGAACAUGUGGUUUAAUUCGAUGAUACGCGAGGAACCUUACCCGGGCUCGAACGGUGCAUGAAUGGACAAGAGAUUGUUCAGACCUUAGGGACAUGUAUCGAGGUGCUGCAUGGUUGUCGUCAGCUCGUGCCGUGAGGUGUCGGCUUAAGUGCCAUAACGAGCGCAACCCUUGUCAUUAGUUACCAUCAGGUAGAGCUGGGGACUCUAAUGAGACUGCCACCGUAAGGUGAGAGGAAGGGGGGGAUGACGUCAAAUCAGCACGGCCCUUAUGUCCGGGGCGACACACGUGUUACAAUGGGGGGCACAGAGGGCAGCCAUCCGGCGACGGAGCGCCAAUCUCAAAAACCCUUCUCAGUUCGGAUUGGAGUCUGCAACUCGACUCCAUGAAGUUGGAUUCGCUAGUAAUCGCGCAUCAGCCAUGGCGCGGUGAAUACGUUCCCGGGCCUUGUACACACCGCCCGUCAAGCCAUGGAAGCUUGGGGUGCCUGAAGUUCGUGACCGCAAGGAGCGACCUAGGGCAAAACAAGUAACUGGGGCUAAGUCGUAACAAGGUAACC
This 1490-nucleotide ribosomal RNA is filed under the name uncultured bacterium. Its description in RNAcentral is "bacterial SSU rRNA". It matches the Rfam family "Bacterial small subunit ribosomal RNA". The record is from RNAcentral.